UGGACACUUCCGAGGCCCAGCCGCGUCCGCCUCGGUGCUGUGGACCAGAGGGCCCCUCUCAUCCAGCACGUGUGUGGCUUUGUUGCCUGUCAGCCUGUGGGGACCAAGCCAGGAGCACAAACAGCUCAGGGGCACCCAGCAGUCACUCCCAGACCACAGGUGUACCCUCAUGAAGGAAGUCACAUCCCUGUGUGCCCCUGCCCCUGUGGUGUCCUUGACUCUGAUCCGGUGUCUGGCUGAUGUCAGUGACCUGGCUCAUGAGCGGUGGAGAAAUUGAAAGUGCCAUGGGUCUCAGGAACAAGAUUUGUGUGAGAUAAGAAAGAAGAGGCCUCAGGACUUGGGGUGCAUUCCCAUCUUUGACCAGAAGUUCAGAGCAUCAGGACAGAGAGAAGUCACAGAGAGAGCAGAUUUCCCAGGACUGGGGAAGAUGAUCAAGUCACAGGUAAGUUGUUUGUCCUUCAGUCAUUUUAUCUGUGGAUGUGAUGAGGCUUCCAGGAAUUUCUACAACCAACAGAAAAGGUUUAAAUACAUUUAA
Moschus moschiferus (Siberian musk deer) is the source of this 535-nucleotide long non-coding RNA. NCBI's taxonomy places the organism in Eukaryota, Metazoa, Chordata, Mammalia, Artiodactyla, Moschidae. The record is from Ensembl.